Molecule: long non-coding RNA, 770 nt
Organism: Hydra vulgaris (swiftwater hydra)
Lineage: Eukaryota; Metazoa; Cnidaria; Hydrozoa; Anthoathecata; Hydridae
Source: RefSeq, a predicted model, not a curated record
UGACGUCACUUUAACUAACUAAACGGCUACCAUUAUGGUAUGGGGGCAAACAAAGCGCUUGAAAAUGGAGAAAUGUGUUUUUGAUUGUUCAAUUAAUGUUAAUAGUCAUCCGAACUUGAUUUUUUAUAUUUUGCUUCCUGAUCCAAAGAGAAGAAAAUCGGGGCUUUAUGCUUUAUAUAGAACUGAUUCAUCUUGCAAAAACAAACUUUGGUCGCAAAACAUGUCUAAAAUAUUAUGUACAAAAAAGUCAUUGCAAUAAAUCUCAAGUUAUUCAAGUCAGUGAACAAAUAAGUACUGACAAUUCGUUGACUGGAGUGGAAGAUGUUAGUGUCUUGAACCAACAUGAAACAACAAGUUAACUUAGCUGAGAAUGAUGGUAGUUUAAAAAUAAUGCAGCAUUGGCUAGGAUUGUUCCUAGAUCACAAAAACAAUCUUACAAAUAGAGUUUCUGCUGUUGUCACUUGUUUUAGAGAGUACCUUCGUGAAUGAAGAUAAAAAGUCAUUUAUGUUAUUUUUUAAAAGCCAAGACAUAAUAUUGUUAAUCCUCAUACUAUUUACUAAAAAACUUUAUAAAUAUUGUUACGAUGUUAUAAUUCAAGUUGUUGUAAUUAGUAAUUUUGAUCAUUUCAUUAUUAUACUGUAAAAAAUAUUUUUUAUUUAUAACAUUUAUUUCACAUAUAUUAAAAACAUGAGGAAUAAAUAUUACACUGAGGAAAAUUUUAAGCAAAAUAUAGAAUUUUUAAAUGUUAUUAGAAUAUCAAUAUGUAAUA